RNAcentral lists this ribosomal RNA (468 nucleotides) under uncultured bacterium. RNAcentral describes it as "partial 16S ribosomal RNA". It matches the Rfam family "Bacterial small subunit ribosomal RNA", at positions 28 to 507 of the family's 1533-position model. The record is from RNAcentral.
GACGAACGCUGGCGGCGUGCUUAACACAUGCAAGUCGAACGGAAAGGCCCUGCUUUUGUGGGGUGCUCGAGUGGCGAACGGGUGAGUAACACGUGAGUAACCUGCCCUUGACUUUGGGAUAACUUCAGGAAACUGGGGCUAAUACCGGAUAGGAGCUCCUGCUGCAUGGUGGGGGUUGGAAAGUUUCGGCGGUUGUGGAUGGACUCGCGGCUUAUCAGCUUGUUGGUGGGGUAGUGGCUUACCAAGGCUUUGACGGGUAGCCGGCCUGAGAGGGUGACCGGCCACAGUGGGACUGAGAUACGGCCCAGACUCCUACGGGAGGCAGCAGUGGGGAAUAUUGCACAAUGGGCGGAAGCCUGAUGCAGCAACGCCGCGUGCGGGAUGACGGCCUUCGGGUUGUAAACCGCUUUCGCCGGUGACGAAGCGUGAGUGACGGUAAUGGGUAAAGAAGCACCGGCUAACUACGUG